UUUGAAAGGGAAACGAUUGAAGUCAGUCGUACCUGCGGGUAAUCAGCCUUUUGGGUGUGAUUAUGUGGAGCGUGAGGAGCUAAUCGCCUUCAUCUUUGCAUAUUUGUGCACUUUGGGUGUACUUGCUCGUGUGGUAGGUUAACAUCAAUUUUGAUCGUCAUAAAAUGGCUAGAGGAAUGUAGCUUCGAUCUCGUAUUGAAGUGUUAUAGCCUUUGGUAGAUGUGAUGAUUAGGAUUGAGGAUUGCAACGGAUACCCUUCGGGGCUACCUGCCUGAUCUCUGAAAGUUGCUCUGGUGCUGAAAGCUUGCUUAUGGUAUCAAAGUGACGUCAAUAGUG
This 336-nucleotide ribosomal RNA is filed under the name uncultured Glomeromycotina. Its description in RNAcentral is "eukaryotic LSU rRNA". The record is from RNAcentral. Lineage: Eukaryota; Fungi; Glomeromycota.